This 1552-nucleotide long non-coding RNA is filed under the name Canis lupus familiaris (dog). Its description in RNAcentral is "lncRNA (ENSCAFG00000058710.1)". Lineage: Eukaryota; Metazoa; Chordata; Mammalia; Carnivora; Canidae. The record is from RNAcentral.
GUGUUUUCUGGAAAUGAAUACUAAUAAUGCAUCUCUACACAUUUAUUUGUGGUUUGGCUUUUCUAAUGAUUGACUCAAUGAAAUAAAUCAUUUCUAAUGAAGCAAUUCAAGAGAUGACAAAUGAACAUAUUAAUUAAAUGGAAAUUCAUCUAACUUUAUUUUAUUUUUUAAAAGAUUUUAUUUAUUCAUGAGAGACAGAGAGAAUGAGAGAGAGAGAGAGAAGGAAGCAGACUCCGAUGUGGGACUCAAUCCCGGGACUGGAUCCCAGGACUCCAGGAUCACACCCUGGGCCCAAGGCAGGUGCUAAACUACUGAGCCACCCAGGGAUCCCCUUCAUCUAACUUUAAAUUAAAUUACUUGUCCAAUUAACAGGUUUUUUUUUUUUUUUGACAAACUUUAACAUCAGCAUUUACUUCUUUGUUUACAUUUACGAUUAUGAAUUGUUCUGUGGCAAACUAAAAGUAAAUACCUUGUUAUAUCCCUGAAAGAAUUAAGCAAAAUACUCACUGUGUAUUUUCUUCCUAUGGCAUGCUAUCUACGGAUGGAUAAUGAGGAAAGCAAACCAGUCUGUCUUGUCUGGGAGAUACCUCACGAUAAUUAUUUAAUUCAAGUGCCAACUAGAACAACCUGGAAUCUUUUUUUGAAACAAGGUUGCUCUUUUGCUGGGUUAGAAUUGCAAGCCCUCGGACGCCAGGCUGAGUGGUAUCACUGUUCACAAUCACAGCCAGAAGGUAUCUCGGGAUCUCAGUCCCAGAGCAGAAGUAACCGGUCUGGGUGCCCGCGUAGGGUGACGAUGGGUGGCUGCGCGGGGAGGCCUGCGACCAGGGCGAAACUUAAAGCAGGACCCGGCGGGCGGGGGAGGGCGUCCCUGCGAGGGCACAGUGCACGGUUUUCCGAGUCCGGGUGGUGGUGGGGGGGGUGUUGGGGGGAGAGGGUGACCUUUGACCUUCCAAAGGACCUUUAUUUGGGAAACUCUAUAAACAGCGUCGGCCUUGAAAGGCGAGGUGGGAGGUUGGGAAAGUGUCUGCUGGACGAGGUCCCGGGAGGCGUUCGGGGCGGCGGGAGUCGGCUGGGCUGGGGGGCGGCCGGCCCCGGGGCUGCUCCCGCGGGAAGGCGGGCGGGGGAAGGGCCGCGGGGCAGCGCGGGGCCGGGCGCGGGCGUCCGUGUGUGCGUGGAGGGCUCCGCGGGCCGGCGCCGGCGCUUCCCGCUCCCGGGAGCCCCGCGCCCGCCCCCGCGCCCCCCCCCCGCCCCGGCCCGGGCCGCGGCCCUCCCGCCCCGGCGGAGGCGCCUGCGCGGUGGAUUGUGGGCCGGGGGCUGCGGCGGCCUCCGGCGGCCUCCGGCGCGCUGUCCGGGACCCGGCCGGGCCGAGGGGGCCGCGGGCCGAGGGCGAGCGGCGGAGCAGGCGGCGGGCGCGCCGGGGGCGGUGGUCGCGGCGCGGCGGCGGCUCCUCCGGAGGCCGGGGAUGUGGGAGAGGCGGUGGCGGCAGCGGCGGAGGCGGCGCUGCGGACCCGGGGGAAACUGCUGGCUGACAGGACACCCGGGAGAGACGUGA